AGCAGUAGCCGCGGGAAUACGAAGGGUGCAAGCGUUAAUCGGAAUCACUGGGCGUAAAGCGUGCGUAGGCGGUUUGUUAAGACAGAUGUGAAAUCCCCGGGCUCAACCUGGGAACUGCAUUUGUGACUGGCAAGCUAGAGUGUGGCAGAGGGGGGUGGAAUUCCGCGUGUAGCAGUGAAAUGCGUAGAUAUGCGGAGGAACACCGAUGGCGAAGGCAGCCCCCUGGGCCAACACUGACGCUCAUGCACGAAAGCGUGGGGAGCAAACAGGAUUAGAUACCCCUGUAGUCCCUGUCUCUUAUAC
Molecule: ribosomal RNA, 303 nt
Filed under: uncultured bacterium
Lineage: Bacteria
Description: partial 16S ribosomal RNA
Rfam family: Bacterial small subunit ribosomal RNA
Source: RNAcentral